Molecule: long non-coding RNA, 547 nt
Organism: Mauremys reevesii (Reeves's turtle)
Lineage: Eukaryota; Metazoa; Chordata; Testudines; Geoemydidae
Exons: 4
Source: RefSeq, a predicted model, not a curated record
CAAGCAAAGUUAACACCAUGUAGGGGAGCAGGUGCCUUAAAGUCUGGCUUCGCCCCCAAAAGGCAGCACCGCAAAGGAGAGUUUUCAGGAGGGAUUUAAAGACGCCCAAUGAGUCGGUUUUGCGGAUGUUUAUGGAGAGAUCCUCCCAAGCGUGAGGAACAGCAUCGGAGGAGGCAUGAAACUGCACUGAGGAGCCCCGGUCAUCAACCAGCACCCAUUGUGCAGAUGCUGGACAAACACAGAACACAAAGAUGGUUCCUGGAGUCCUGCCCCGAGAGCUGGUCCAUCCUGUUCUCCCAGCUUGUCUCAGAACACCUGGUAGAAUGAUGGGUGGAUUGUGGGUGGAGUCUCUAGGCUCCGUUGCAAUACAGAUAACUAAGAUUAAUACAAUAACAAUCCAAAAAUCAGCAGAUUGUCUGCAGUUGCAGGCCCAAUGAUUUCAAAGGGAGUUAGGUGCUGAAAUACCUCUGAGGAUCUGGGUCAAUGUGCCUGAGACAUAAAGGGCCAGAGACACCAAACUGAAGCCAGAGAUUCCCAGGGGUUACUC